RNAcentral lists this transfer RNA (69 nucleotides) under Synaphobranchus kaupii (Kaup's arrowtooth eel). Its description in RNAcentral is "tRNA-His". It matches the Rfam family "tRNA". From Rfam's summary of the family: Transfer RNA (tRNA) molecules are approximately 80 nucleotides in length. RNAcentral also lists the same sequence under 2 other names. Lineage: Eukaryota; Metazoa; Chordata; Actinopteri; Anguilliformes; Synaphobranchidae. The record is from RNAcentral.
GUAGAUAUAGUUUAACAAAAACAUUAGAUUGUGAUUCUAAAAAUAGGGAAUAAAAUACCCUUAUCUACA